Molecule: ribosomal RNA, 443 nt
Filed under: uncultured bacterium
Lineage: Bacteria
Description: partial 16S ribosomal RNA
Rfam family: Bacterial small subunit ribosomal RNA
Source: RNAcentral
CCUACGGGCGGCAGCAGUGGGGGAUAUUGGACAAUGGGGGAAACCCUGAUCCAGCGACGCCGCGUGAGUGAAGAAGUAUUUCGGUAUGUAAAGCUCUGUCAGCAGGGAAGAAAGAAAUGACGGUACCUGACCAAGAAGCCCCGGCUAACUACGUGCCAGCAGCCGCGGUAAUACGUAGGGGGCAAGCGUUAUCCGGAAUUACUGGGUGUAAAGGAAGCGUAGACGGCAGCGCAAGUCUGGAGUGAAAUGCCGGGGCCCAACCCCGGAACUGCUCUGGAAACUGUGAAGCUGGAGUGCAGGAGAGGUAAGCGGAAUUCCUGGUGUAGCGGUGAAAUGCGUAGAUAUCAGGAGGAACACCGGCGGCGAAGGCGGCUUACUGGACUGUAACUGACGUUGAGGCUCGAAGGCGUGGGGAGCAAACAGGAUUAGAUACCCCAGUAGUC